Long non-coding RNA from Vombatus ursinus (common wombat), 795 nucleotides. RefSeq lists it as uncharacterized. The transcript is spliced from 2 exons. Lineage: Eukaryota; Metazoa; Chordata; Mammalia; Diprotodontia; Vombatidae. The record is from RefSeq and is a predicted model, not a curated record.
GCCGCACCAGUCCUGGACAGAAUUGGUUUCUUCUUAAAAUUCUUCCGAGCAGGAGAAACACGCAACAGGUGAGCGGGAGAAUCCUGAAGUUAGCAGCUUUUGGGAUAGGCCGGAGAGUGGGAUUGGAGGUCAGGGCCCCUAACUCCAAACCCCACGCUGCUUCCUCUGCCCUACCCGUGAACCACAAAGCCUUUGGACAGAGUGGUCGAGGAGUGUGGCCCUGCCUUUUUCCAGAGUUUUGGCCUGAGACUCUAAAAGCAAGGACUCCUAACCUCUGUUACACAUUGGAGCCCUUUAGCAGUGGUGAAGCCUAUGAACCCAUUCUCAUAACCAUAUUUUAAAAUUCAACCAAUUAUAUGGAAAUAAUGAUCAAAAUAUAAAAAAAAUCAAAUUCAUCGGUUCCCCUGAAAUCUAGCCAGACUCUCUAAGGGGUCUGGGAACUCCGCGUUAAACAACCCUGCUCUAAAAGCUGGUUGAGAAAGAAAUCUUUACGUUAUGUGACAGGUAUGGUUGAGCUGGUGAUACUCUUGGCUUCCUGAUUGGUGCAGAUGGCACCCACAUUCCUCCGAGUUGCAAAGAUGAGCAGGAGAAAGAAUUCUUGCUGAGGGGCCAGUCUCUUGACUGGAAUGUUGUGGCCAGCGCCUCAAGGUGCUUCUCUUAUUCUCUGCUCAUUCCUCAGGACUGGAUGCAGGAGGACCUGACAACGUCUUGUUCUCAGUGGUCUUGCCGAAAAAGAUUGUUCCUGGGGUAAACCACUCAAUGCCUUAUUUCUCCCAAUAAAAUAUUAUAUACACA